GAUGAACGCUGGCGGCGUGCCUAAUACAUGCAAGUCGAGCGAACGGACGAGAAGCUUGCUUCUCUGAUGUUAGCGGCGGACGGGUGAGUAACACGUGGAUAACCUACCUAUAAGACUGGGAUAACUUCGGGAAACCGGAGCUAAUACCGGAUAAUAUUUUGAACCGCAUGGUUCAAAAGUGAAAGACGGUCUCGCUGUCACUUAUAGAUGGAUCCGCGCUGCAUUAGCUAGUUGGUAAGGUAACGGCUUACCAAGGCAACGAUGCAUAGCCGGACUGAGAGGUUGAACGGCCACAUUGGGACUGAGACACGGCCCAG
RNAcentral lists this ribosomal RNA (317 nucleotides) under uncultured bacterium. RNAcentral describes it as "bacterial SSU rRNA". It matches the Rfam family "Bacterial small subunit ribosomal RNA", at positions 28 to 334 of the family's 1533-position model. The record is from RNAcentral.